GCAAGGGUAAGAAACCAUCACCGAGCGUGCACCACUGUACAAACGUCGGAUCGAAGUACCCACCUGUACAACUGUCGCGCCUGUCUUCUGACUGCAAAAGAAUGUCAACCGGACCUAAGGAGGGUCCACUGGGUUAGUGUCUAACCCACAGCUAAGAAACCCUAAAAGCAUAACCCACAAACAAUCCCACAGAAAUCGGUUUCCCAAAACCGAUUACCAUAACUCGCCGGAAGUCCCGAAAAUCGCACCGGGACUCCGCCGGGACCCACUAACUAUCCCGG
Molecule: long non-coding RNA, 281 nt
Filed under: Ananas comosus (pineapple)
Lineage: Eukaryota; Viridiplantae; Streptophyta; Magnoliopsida; Poales; Bromeliaceae
Description: long non-coding RNA (ACOM_LNC034616)
Source: RNAcentral